UACGUAGGUGGCAAGCGUUGUCCGGAAUUACUGGGUGUAAAGGGAGUGUAGGCGGGAUAUCAAGUCAGAAGUGAAAAUUGCGGGCUCAACUCGUAACCUGCUUUUGAAACUGACAUUCUUGAGUGAAGUAGAGGCAAGCGGAAUUCCUAGUGUAGCGGUGAAAUGCGUAGAUAUUAGGAGGAACACCAGUGGCGAAGGCGGCUUGCUGGGCUUUUACUGACGCUGAGGCUCGAAAGCGUGGGGAGCAAACAGG
Molecule: ribosomal RNA, 253 nt
Filed under: [Eubacterium] siraeum
Lineage: Bacteria; Bacillati; Bacillota; Clostridia; Eubacteriales; Oscillospiraceae
Description: partial 16S ribosomal RNA
Rfam family: Bacterial small subunit ribosomal RNA
Source: RNAcentral